GACGAACGCUGGCGGCGUGCUUAACACAUGCAAGUCGAGCGGUAAGGCCCUUUCGGGGGUACGACGAGCGGCGAACGGGUGAGUAACACGUGGGUGACCUGCCCUCAGCUCUGGGAGUAAGCCUGGGAAACUGGGUCUAAUACUGGAUAUGACUCCACGGUGCAUGUCGUGGGGUGGAAAGCCUUGUGCGGCUGAGGAUGGGCCCGCGGCCUAUCAGCUAGUUGGUGGGGUAAAAGCCUACCAAGGCGGCGACGGGUAGCUGGUCUGAGAGGAUGAUCAGCCACACUGGGACUGAGACACGGCCCAGACUCCUACGGGAGGCAGCAGUGGGGAAUAUUGGACAAUGGGCGAAAGCCUGAUCCAGCAAUGCCGCGUGUGUGAAGAAGGCCUGGCGGGUUGUAAAGCACUUUCAGUGGGGAAGAAAGCGUUGGUGUGAAUAGCGCCGAGUCUUG
RNAcentral lists this ribosomal RNA (452 nucleotides) under uncultured bacterium. Its description in RNAcentral is "partial 16S ribosomal RNA". It matches the Rfam family "Bacterial small subunit ribosomal RNA", at positions 28 to 476 of the family's 1533-position model. The record is from RNAcentral.